RNAcentral lists this ribosomal RNA (785 nucleotides) under Antarctomysis maxima. RNAcentral's name for it is "SSU rRNA". It matches the Rfam family "Eukaryotic small subunit ribosomal RNA", at positions 628 to 1437 of the family's 1831-position model. Lineage: Eukaryota; Metazoa; Arthropoda; Malacostraca; Mysida; Mysidae. The record is from RNAcentral.
UCGUAGUUGGAUCUCAGUUCCAGAAGGACGGUUCGCCUCUGGCGACUUACUGUCCUUCUGAACAGGUCGUCAGCUCACUCGGGGUGCUCUUUACCGAGUGUCCUGCGUGGCUGGCAUGUUUACUUUGAAAAAAUUAGAGUGCUCAAAGCAGGCUAUUGCCUGAAUAGUUGUGCAUGGAAUAAUGGAAUAGGACCUCGGUUCUAUUUUGUUGGUUUUCGGAACCCGAGGUAAUGAUUAAUAGAGACGGACGGGGGCAUUCGUAUUGCGACGCUAGAGGUGAAAUUCUUGGACCGUCGCAAGACGAACUACUGCGAAAGCUUUUGCCAAGUACGUUCUCAUUAAUCAAGAACGAAAGUUAGAGGAUCGAAGGCGAUCAGAUACCGCCCUAGUUCUAACCAUAAACUAUGCUGACUAGCGAUCCGUCUGUGUUAAUCCCAUGACUAGACGGGCAGCUUCCGGGAAACCAAAGUCUUUGAGUUCCGGGGGAAGUAUGGUUGCAAAGCUGAAACUUAAAGGAAUUGACGGAAGGGCACCACCAGGAGUGGAGCCUGCGGCUUAAUUUGACUCAACACGGGGAACCUCACCAGGCCCGGACACCGGAAGGAUUGACAGAUUGAGAGCUCUUUCUUGAUUCGGUGGGUGGUGGUGCAUGGCCGUUCUUAGUUGGUGGAGCGAUUUGUCUGGUUAAUUCCGAUAACGAACGAGACUCUAGCCUGCUAACUAGUCGUGGUGUCAAUAUACUUGCACUACGCAGCUUCUUAGAGGGAUAAGCGGCAUUUAGCCGC